GUGGAGGGGACCGGUCUACAGCGGAGGAGGAGAUGGCAUAGUGGCAGGGCAGUAAAGGGGACAGGGCUGCAGUGGAGAAGGUGAUGGCAGGAACGUAGAGGGGACAGGACUGCAGCGGAGGAGGUGAUGGCAUAGUGGCAGGGCAGUGGAGGGGGCAGGACUGUAGUGGAUGAGGUGAGGGCAUAGUGGCAGGGCAGUGGAGGGGGCAGGACUACAGCGGAGGAGGUGAGGGCAUAGUGGCAGAGCAGUAAAGGGGACAGGACUGCAGUGGAGAAGGUGAUGGCAGAACAGUAGAGGGGACAGGACUGCAGCAGAGGAGGUGAUGGCAUAGUGGCAGGGCAGUGGAGGGGACAGGACAGCAGCGGAAGAGGUGAUGUCAUAGUGGAGGAGGUACAAGCAUAGUGGCAGGGCAGUGUAGGGGAUAGGACGGCAGCAGAAGAGGUGAUGGCAUAGUGGCAGGGCAGUGGAGGGGACAGGACGGCAGCGGAGGAGGUGAGGGCAUAGUGGCAGGGCAGUGGAGGGGACAGGACGGCAGCGGAGGAGGUGAGGGCAUAGUGGCAGGGCAGUGGAGGGGGCAGGACUGCAGUGGAGGAGGUGAGGGAAGAGUGGCAGGGCAGUGGAGGGGACAGGACUGCAGCAGAGGAAGUGAUGGCAUAGUAGCAGGGCAGUGGAGGGGGCAGGACUGCAGUGGUGGAGGUGAGGGCAUAGUGGCAGGGUAGU
This is a long non-coding RNA of Bufo bufo (common toad), 720 nucleotides long. RefSeq lists it as uncharacterized. The record is from RefSeq and is a predicted model, not a curated record. NCBI's taxonomy places the organism in Eukaryota, Metazoa, Chordata, Amphibia, Anura, Bufonidae. The transcript is spliced from 3 exons.